UUAGUAACUGCGAGUGAACAGGGAAAAGCUCAAAUUUAAAAUCUGGCAGCCUCCUUUUUCUACUUUGGCUGUCCGACUUGUAAUCUAGAGAAGUGUUACCUGUGCUGGACCAUGUACAAGUCUCCUGGAAUGGAGCGUCAUAGAGGGUGAGAAUCCCGUCUUUGACAUGGAUUCCCAGUGCGCUGUGGUAUGCUCUCAAAGAGUCGAGUUGUUUGGGAAUGCAGCUCCAAAUGGGUGGUAAACUCCAUCUAAAGCUAAAUAUUGGCGAGAGACCGAUAGCGAACAAGUACCGUGAGGGAAAGAUGAAAAGCACUUUGGAAAGAGAGUUAAACAGUAUGUGAAAUUGUUGAAAGGGAAACACUUGAAGUCAGACAUGUCUUGUAGGGAUCAGCCUUGCUCUUUUGCUGGGUGAAUUUCCUAGUUUGACAGGCCAACAUCAGUUUUGACUGCUAGAAAAGAGCAACGGGAAUGUGGCACCUUCGGGUGUGUUAUAGCCUUUUGUUAUAUGUGGCAGUUGGGACUGAGGAUAAAUGCAGCGCGCCGCAAGGCCUGGUUUCGACCAAGUUCG
Molecule: ribosomal RNA, 568 nt
Filed under: Amanita sp.
Lineage: Eukaryota; Fungi; Basidiomycota; Agaricomycetes; Agaricales; Amanitaceae
Description: partial large subunit ribosomal RNA
Rfam family: Eukaryotic large subunit ribosomal RNA
Source: RNAcentral